This is a small nuclear RNA of Solanum dulcamara, 199 nucleotides long. RefSeq annotates it as U2 spliceosomal RNA. The transcript has a single exon. Lineage: Eukaryota; Viridiplantae; Streptophyta; Magnoliopsida; Solanales; Solanaceae. The record is from RefSeq and is a predicted model, not a curated record.
AUACCUUAUUCGGCCUUUGUUUAAGAUUAAGUGUAGUAUCCAUUCUUACUAAUUUAAUAUCUUAUAUGUGGGUUAUCUGUCACAUGAUAUUAGCUUAAUUUUUUAAGGGGAUAGUUCACUAUGAUAGCUUGCUAUUAGGAUCAGGGGCGGAGCUAUACGGAGAUCGCGGGGUUUACCUAAACCCCUUGGUCAAAAAAUU